CGUGUCGUGAAAUGUUGGGUUAAGUCCCGCAACGAGCGCAACCCUUGUCCUUAGUUCCCACCAUUCAGUUGGGCACUCUAAGGAGACUGCCGGUGACAAACCGGAGGAAGGUGGGGAUGACGUCAAUUCAUCAUGCCCCUUAUGAGUUGGGCUACACACGUGCUACAAUGGACGGUACAAAGGGCAGCGAAUCCGCGAGGUGGAGCCAAUCCCAGAAACCCGUUCUCAGUUCGGAUUGCAGGCUGCAACUCGCCUUCAUGAAGUCGGAAUCGCUAGUAAUCGCAGGUCAGCAUACUGCGGUGAAUACGUUCCCGGGUCUUGUACACACCGCCCGUCACACCACGAGAGUUUGUAACACCCGAAGUCGGAGAGUAACUCUAGGG
RNAcentral lists this ribosomal RNA (383 nucleotides) under Exiguobacterium aurantiacum. Its description in RNAcentral is "bacterial SSU rRNA". It matches the Rfam family "Bacterial small subunit ribosomal RNA", at positions 1061 to 1446 of the family's 1533-position model. Lineage: Bacteria; Bacillati; Bacillota; Bacilli; Caryophanales. The record is from RNAcentral.